This 77-nucleotide transfer RNA is filed under the name Amnimonas aquatica. RNAcentral describes it as "Perlucidibaca sp. HR-E tRNA-Pro". It matches the Rfam family "tRNA". From Rfam's summary of the family: Transfer RNA (tRNA) molecules are approximately 80 nucleotides in length. Their secondary structure includes four short double-helical elements and three loops (D, anti-codon, and T loops). Lineage: Bacteria; Pseudomonadati; Pseudomonadota; Gammaproteobacteria; Moraxellales; Moraxellaceae. The record is from RNAcentral.
CGGGGUAUAGCUCAGUCUGGUAGAGCGCUACGUUCGGGACGUAGAGGUCGUAGGUUCGAAUCCUGCUACCCCGACCA